Molecule: transfer RNA, 82 nt
Filed under: Synechococcus phage S-PM2
Lineage: Duplodnaviria; Heunggongvirae; Uroviricota; Caudoviricetes; Pantevenvirales; Kyanoviridae
Rfam family: tRNA
About the family: Transfer RNA (tRNA) molecules are approximately 80 nucleotides in length. Their secondary structure includes four short double-helical elements and three loops (D, anti-codon, and T loops). Further hydrogen bonds mediate the characteristic L-shaped molecular structure. tRNAs have two regions of fundamental functional importance: the anti-codon, which is responsible for specific mRNA codon recognition, and the 3' end, to which the tRNAs corresponding amino acid is attached (by aminoacyl-tRNA synthetases). tRNAs cope with the degeneracy of the genetic code in two manners: having more than one tRNA (with a specific anti-codon) for a particular amino acid; and 'wobble' base-pairing, i.e. permitting non-standard base-pairing at the 3rd anti-codon position.
Source: Rfam by way of RNAcentral
GCCCAAGUGGCGGAAUUGGUAGACGCGCUGGGUUUAGGUUCCAGUGAAUUAAUUCGUGGAGGUUCAAGUCCUCUCUUGGGCA